CCGCGCUAAGCGGGGAGCUGGCGAUGCCCUGAACCUGCGAUCGCCUAGCAGGGCCUAGAUCCCCGCCCGAGGCGGUCCGGGUUCGGUGGAGGCCGGUGUCAUGUGCGGCGUCGAUGGUCCGGUCCCGGGCAAUGGGGGCCCGUGAACCGUGUCAGGGCCGGGAGGCAGCAGCACUAAGCGGGUCACCCCAUGUGCUGCGGGGCAGCCGGGCCGGAGCUGGCGGCCGGACGCUCGCCGGGUCUGGUCCCGUCGACGGCGGGGUGCGCGG
RNAcentral lists this signal recognition particle RNA (268 nucleotides) under Rubrobacter xylanophilus DSM 9941. RNAcentral's name for it is "Bacterial large signal recognition particle RNA". It matches the Rfam family "Bacterial large signal recognition particle RNA". From Rfam's summary of the family: The signal recognition particle (SRP) is a universally conserved ribonucleoprotein involved in the co-translational targeting of proteins to membranes. Archaeal SRP consists of a 7S RNA and homologues of the eukaryotic SRP19 and SRP54 proteins. The record is from Rfam by way of RNAcentral. Lineage: Bacteria; Bacillati; Actinomycetota; Rubrobacteria; Rubrobacterales; Rubrobacteraceae.